This 73-nucleotide transfer RNA is filed under the name Candidatus Diapherotrites archaeon CG11_big_fil_rev_8_21_14_0_20_37_9. RNAcentral's name for it is "tRNA-Tyr". It matches the Rfam family "tRNA". Rfam says of the family: Transfer RNA (tRNA) molecules are approximately 80 nucleotides in length. The record is from RNAcentral. Lineage: Archaea; Nanobdellati; Candidatus Iainarchaeota.
CCCCCCUUAGCUUAGUAGCUAAAGCGUCCGGCUGUAGACCGGAAGAUCCCGGGUGCAUGUCCCGGAGGGGGGA